UCCAGACUCCUACGGGAGGCAGCAGUGGGGAAUAUUGCACAAUGGGCGAAAGCCUGAUGCAGCGACGCCGCGUGAGUGAAGAAGUAUUUCGGUAUGUAAAGCUCUAUCAGCAGGGAAGAAAAUGACGGUACCUGACUAAGAAGCCCCGGCUAACUACGUGCCAGCAGCCGCGGUAAUACGUAGGGGGCAAGCGUUAUCCGGAUUUACUGGGUGUAAAGGGAGUGUAGGUGGCAUAACAAGUCAGAAGUGGAAGCCCGGGGCUCAACCGCGGGACUGCUUUUGAAACUGUUAAGCUUGAGUGCAGGAGAGGUAAGCGGAAUUCCUAGUGUAGCGGUGAAAUGCGUAGAUAUUAGGAGGAACACCAGUGGCGAAGGCGACUUUCUGGACUGUACCUGACGCUGAGGCGCGAAAGCGUGGGUAGCGAACGGGAUUAGAUACCCGUGUAAA
This 447-nucleotide ribosomal RNA is filed under the name uncultured bacterium. Its description in RNAcentral is "bacterial SSU rRNA". It matches the Rfam family "Bacterial small subunit ribosomal RNA", at positions 330 to 794 of the family's 1533-position model. The record is from RNAcentral.